GGUUGUGGCUCAGUGGCAGAGCACUUGCUUAGCAUGUAUGAGGCACUGGGUUCAAUUCUCAGCACCA
This 67-nucleotide transfer RNA is filed under the name Marmota monax (woodchuck). Its description in RNAcentral is "tRNA.Ala". It matches the Rfam family "tRNA". From Rfam's summary of the family: Transfer RNA (tRNA) molecules are approximately 80 nucleotides in length. Their secondary structure includes four short double-helical elements and three loops (D, anti-codon, and T loops). Lineage: Eukaryota; Metazoa; Chordata; Mammalia; Rodentia; Sciuridae. The record is from RNAcentral.